CGAACGGGUGAGUAAUGCGUGACCAACCUGCCCCAUGCUCCAGAAUAGCUCUUGGAAACGGGUGGUAAUGCUGGAUGCUCCAACUUGACGCAUGUCUUGUUGGGAAAGUGUUUAGUGGCAUGGGAUGGGGUCGCGUCCUAUCAGCUUGUAGGCGGGGUAAUGGCCCACCUAGGCUUCGACGGGUAGCCGGCCUGAGAGGGCGGACGGCCACAUUGGGACUGAGAUACGGCCCAGACUCCUACGGAGGCAGCAGGC
This 255-nucleotide ribosomal RNA is filed under the name uncultured Gardnerella sp. Its description in RNAcentral is "partial 16S ribosomal RNA". It matches the Rfam family "Bacterial small subunit ribosomal RNA", at positions 99 to 354 of the family's 1533-position model. Lineage: Bacteria; Bacillati; Actinomycetota; Actinomycetes; Bifidobacteriales; Bifidobacteriaceae. The record is from RNAcentral.